UGGAGGGGCGGGAGGGUAGCCUAGUGGUUAGAGUGGAGGGGCGGGAGGGUAGCCUAGUGGUUAGAGUGGAGGGGCGGCAGGGUAGCCUAGUGGUUAGAGUGGAGGGGCGGGAGGGUAGCCUAGUGGUUAGAGUGGAGGGGCGGGAGGGUAGCCUAGUGGUUAGAGUGGAGGGGCGGGAGGGUAGCCUAGUGGUUAGAGUGGAGGGGCGGGAGGGUAGCCUAGUGGUUAGAGGGGAGGGGCGGGAGGGUAGCCUAGUGGUUAGAGGGGAGGGGCGGGAGGGUAGCCUAGUGGUUAGAGGGGAGGGGCGGCAGGGUGGCCUAGUGGUUAGAGGGGAGGGGAGGCAGCGUAGCCUAGUGGUUAGAGGGGAGGGGCGGGAGGGUAGCCUAGUGGUUAGAGUGGAGGGGCCGCAGGGUAGCCUAGUGGUUAGAGUGGAGGGGCGGCAGGGUAGCCUAGUGGUUAGAGUGGAGGGGCGGCAGGGUAGCCUAGUGGUUAGAGUGGAGGGGCGGCAGGGUAGCCUAGUGGUUAGAGUGGAGGGGCGGCAGGGUAGCCUAGUGGUUAGAGUGGAGGGGCGGCAGGGUAGCCUAGUGGUUAGAGUGGAGGGGCGGCAGGGUAGCCUAGUGGUUAGAGUGGAGGGGCGGCAGGGUAGCCUAGUGGUUAGAGUGGAGGGGCGGCAGGGUAGCCUAGUGGUUAGAGUGUAGAGGCGGCAGGGUAGCCUAGUGGUUAGAGUGGAGGGGCGGCAGGGUAGCCUAGUGGUUAGAGUGUAGGGGCGGCAGGGUAGCCUAGUGGUUAGAGGGGAGGGGCGGCAGGGUAGCCUAGUGGUUAGAGUGGAGGGGCGGCAGGGUAGCCUAGUGGUUAGAGGGGAGGGGCGGCAGGGUAGCCUAGUGGUUAGAGUGGAGGGGCGGCAGGGUAGCCUAGUGGUUAGAGUGGAGGGGCGGCAGGGUAGCCUAGUGGUUAGAGUGGAGGGGCGGCAGGGUAGCCUAGUGGUUAGAGUGGAGGGGCGGGAGGGUAGCC
Oncorhynchus keta (chum salmon) is the source of this 1011-nucleotide long non-coding RNA. RefSeq lists it as uncharacterized. The record is from RefSeq and is a predicted model, not a curated record. NCBI's taxonomy places the organism in Eukaryota, Metazoa, Chordata, Actinopteri, Salmoniformes, Salmonidae. The transcript is spliced from 3 exons.